GGACAGAAAGACAAAGAUGUUAAUUUAUGCGGCUGCGGCACAAUGGUUUAUCAACAUGAUAACAUUGGUUGUUCAAUCCAGAAAAAGAAAAAGGAGAGAAGCAAUUACGUAUGCCCAAUUGAUGAGAGAGAUAGGAUGAGAAGAGAGUAUUUUGACAACAAAAUAUGGAAGAAUGACACAACUUGUGUGAACAUGCUUAGGCUUCGGAGAGUACUUUUCUUUAGGUUUUGUCAACUCUUUAGGGAUCGCAACUUGAUAAAGGACACGAUACAUUUGACUAUUGAGCAACAAGUAGCAAUGUUCUUGCACACCGUUGGGCAUAACAUUAGAAAUAGGGUAAUUGGUGCCAAUUUUGGUAGAUCCGGUGAAGUUGUGAGUCGUUACUUCCAAAGGGUACUCCAUGCCAUUGGCGAGCUUAGAGAUGACCUUAUUAGGAAGCCUUCAUUGGAGACCCAAACCAAAAUAGAAGGGAACUGCCGGUGGGAUCCAUAUUUAAGGUAU
This 501-nucleotide ribosomal RNA is filed under the name Triticum aestivum (bread wheat). Its description in RNAcentral is "partial small subunit ribosomal RNA". The record is from RNAcentral. Lineage: Eukaryota; Viridiplantae; Streptophyta; Magnoliopsida; Poales; Poaceae.